GCCCUCGUAGCUCAGCGGAUAGAGCGUCUGCCUCCGGAGCAGAAGGCCACAGGUUCGAGUCCUGUCGGGGGCACCA
This 76-nucleotide transfer RNA is filed under the name Coriobacteriia bacterium. RNAcentral's name for it is "tRNA-Arg". It matches the Rfam family "tRNA". Rfam says of the family: Transfer RNA (tRNA) molecules are approximately 80 nucleotides in length. Their secondary structure includes four short double-helical elements and three loops (D, anti-codon, and T loops). The record is from RNAcentral. Lineage: Bacteria; Bacillati; Actinomycetota; Coriobacteriia. RNAcentral also lists the same sequence under 1 other name.